This 476-nucleotide ribosomal RNA is filed under the name uncultured bacterium. RNAcentral's name for it is "bacterial SSU rRNA". It matches the Rfam family "Bacterial small subunit ribosomal RNA", at positions 32 to 507 of the family's 1533-position model. The record is from RNAcentral.
AACGCUGGCGGCGUGCCUAANACAUGCAAGUCGAGCGGACCCUUCGGGGUUAGCGGCGGACGGGUGAGUAACACGUGGGUAAUCUGCCCAACUGACUGGAAUAACGCCUGGAAACGGGUGCUAAUGCCGGAUAGGCAACUGGUAGGCAUCUACCGGUUGGGAAAGGUGCAACUGCACCGCAGAUGGAGGAGCCCGCGGCGCAUUAGCUAGUUGGUGGGGUAACGGCCUACCAAGGCGACGAUGCGUAGCCGACCUGAGAGGGUGACGGCCACACUGGGACUGAGACACGGCCCAGACUCCUACGGGAGGCAGCAGUAGGGAAUCUUCCGCAAUGGGCGCAAGCCUGACGGAGCAACGCCGCGUGAGCGAAGAAGGCCUUCGGGUUGUAAAGCUCAGUCACUCGGGAAGAGCGGACGAGGGAGUGGAAAGCCCUCGUCGAGACGGUACCGAGAGAGGAAGCCCCGGCUAACUACGUG